AUUGAACGCUGGCGGCAGGCCUAACACAUGCAAGUCGAACGGUAACAGGAAGCAGCUUGCUGCUUCGCUGACGAGUGGCGGACGGGUGAGUAAUGUCUGGGAAGCUGCCUGAUGGAGGGGGAUAACUACUGGAAACGGUAGCUAAUAACGCAUAAUGUCGCAAGACCAAAGAGGGGGACCUUCGGGCCUCUUGCCAUCGGAUGUGCCCAGAUGGGAUUAGCUUGUUGGUGGGGUAACGGCUCACCAAGGCGACGAUCCCUAGCUGGUCUGAGAGGAUGACCAGCCACACUGGGACUGAGACACGGUCCAGACUCCUACGGGAGGCAGCAGUGGGGAAUAUUGCACAAUGGGCGCAAGCCUGAUGCAGCCAUGCCGCGUGUAUGAAGAAGGCCUUCGGGUUGUAAAGUACUUUCAGCGGGGAGGAAGGGAGUAAAGUUAAUACCUUUGCUCAUUGACGUUACCCGCAGAAGAAGCACCGGCUAACUCCGUG
This 490-nucleotide ribosomal RNA is filed under the name uncultured bacterium. RNAcentral's name for it is "partial 16S ribosomal RNA". It matches the Rfam family "Bacterial small subunit ribosomal RNA", at positions 30 to 507 of the family's 1533-position model. The record is from RNAcentral.